AACUUUUUAUUCUAAGAAAGAUAUUUAAUUGUGGUUUAAAAGAUUUUUAGUUA
This 53-nucleotide transfer RNA is filed under the name Diploscapter coronatus. Its description in RNAcentral is "tRNA-His". Lineage: Eukaryota; Metazoa; Nematoda; Chromadorea; Rhabditida; Rhabditidae. RNAcentral also lists the same sequence under 1 other name. The record is from RNAcentral.